AUUAAAGUUGCUGCGGUUAAAAAGCUCGUAGUUGGAUAUCGGUCGCGAUCAGGUGGUGCCGCCUCGCGGUGUGCACUGCCUCGAUUGGACAAUCCACCGGACUGUCCGGGGUGCUCUUAACCGAGUGUCCUGGGUGGCCGGUACGUUUACUUUGAACAAAUUAGAGUGCUUAAAGCAGGUGCUCCGCGCCUGAAUAUCACAGCAUGGAAUGAUGGAAUAGGACCUCGGUCUUAUUUUGUUGGUUUUCUGGACUUGAGGUAAUGGUUAAUAGAGACAGACGGGGGCAUUCGUACUGCGACGCUAGAGGUGAAAUUCUUGGACCGUCGCAAGACGAACAACUGCGAAAGCAUUUGCCAAGAAUGUUUUCAUUAAUCAAGAACGAAAGUUAGAGGUUCGAAGGCGAUCAGAUACCGCCCUAGUUCUAACCAUAAACGAUGCCAACCAGCGAUCCGCAGACGUUACUUCAAUGACUCUGCGGGCAGCUUCCGGGAAACCAAAGUUUUUGGGUUCCGGGGGAAGUAUGGUUGCAAAGCUGAAACUUAAAGGAAUUGACGGAAGGGCACCACCAGGAGUGGAGCCUGCGGCUUAAUUUGACUCAACACGGGAAACCUCACCAGGCCCGGACACUGGAAGGAUUGACAGAUUGAGAGCUCUUUCUUGAUUCGGUGGGUGGUGGUGCAUGGCCGUUCUUAGUUGGUGGAGCGAUUUGUCUGGUUAAUUCCGAUAACGAACGAGACUCUAGCCUGCUAAAUAGAUGACGUAUCUUCGGGUACGUUACUCUUCUUAGAGGGACAAGUGGCGUCUAGCCAUAUGAAAGUGAGCAAUAACAGGUCUGUGAUGCCCUUAGAUGUCCUGGGCCGCACGCGCGCUACACUGAAAGAAUCAGCGCGUCUUCCCUGUCCGAGAGGACCGGGUAACCGCUGAACCUCUUUCGUGGUAGGGAUUGGGGACUGCAAGGAUCCCCAUGAACCAGGAAUCCCUAGUAGGUGCAAGUCAUUAGCUUGCGUCGAUUACGUCCCUGCCCUUUGUACACACCGCCCGUCGCUACU
RNAcentral lists this ribosomal RNA (1049 nucleotides) under Branchinecta orientalis. Its description in RNAcentral is "SSU rRNA". It matches the Rfam family "Eukaryotic small subunit ribosomal RNA", at positions 603 to 1683 of the family's 1831-position model. The record is from RNAcentral. Lineage: Eukaryota; Metazoa; Arthropoda; Branchiopoda; Anostraca; Branchinectidae.